Molecule: long non-coding RNA, 125 nt
Organism: Ceratina calcarata
Lineage: Eukaryota; Metazoa; Arthropoda; Insecta; Hymenoptera; Apidae
Exons: 2
Source: RefSeq, a predicted model, not a curated record
CCGUUAUGUAUUAAUUCUUUGCAUACUAUGUUGAAAGCAGCAGGAUUUAAAUGCAAGAUAAACACGCUCAUGGAUUUUUUGGACGAGCAAUGUAUUACAUUUUACAUCCAAGAUCCAAAACAAAA